AGUGAACGCUGGCGGUAGGCCUAACACAUGCAAGUCGAACGGCAGCACAGUAAGAGCUUGCUCUUACGGGUGGCGAGUGGCGGACGGGUGAGGAAUACAUCAGAAUCUACUUUUUCGUGGGGGAUAACGUAGGGAAACUUACGCUAAUACCGCAUACGACCUACGGGUUAAAUCAGUGGAUCUUCGGACCUUGCGCGAUUGAAUGAGCCGAUGUCGGAUUAGCUAGUUGGCGGGGUAAAGGCCCACCAAGGCGACGAUCCGUAGCUGGUCUGAGGGGAUGAUCAGCCACACUGGAACUGAGACACGGUCCAGACUCCUACGGGAGGCAGCAGUGGGGAAUAUUGGACAAUGGGCGAAAGCCUGAUCCAGCCAUACCGCGUGGGUGAAGAAGGCCUUCGGGUUGUAAAGCCCUUUUGUUGGGAAAGAAAAGAAGCAGGUUAAUACCCCGCUGUUCUGACGGUACCCAAAGAAUAAGCACCGGCUAACUUCGUG
RNAcentral lists this ribosomal RNA (492 nucleotides) under uncultured bacterium. RNAcentral's name for it is "partial 16S ribosomal RNA". It matches the Rfam family "Bacterial small subunit ribosomal RNA", at positions 29 to 507 of the family's 1533-position model. The record is from RNAcentral.